This 425-nucleotide ribosomal RNA is filed under the name uncultured rumen bacterium. RNAcentral's name for it is "bacterial SSU rRNA". It matches the Rfam family "Bacterial small subunit ribosomal RNA", at positions 354 to 776 of the family's 1533-position model. The record is from RNAcentral.
GUGGGGAAUAUUGGUCAAUGGGCGAAAGCCUGAACCAGCCAAGUAGCGUGCAGGAUGACGGCCCUAUGGGUUGUAAACUGCUUUUAUAGGGGAAUAAAGUUAUCCACGUGUGGAUAUUUGCAUGUACCCUAUGAAUAAGGACCGGCUAAUUCCGUGCCAGCAGCCGCGGUAAUACGGAAGGUCCGGGCGUUAUCCGGAUUUAUUGGGUUUAAAGGGAGCGUAGGCGGUAUAUUAAGCGUGUUGUGAAAUGUAGGUGCUCAACAUCUGACUUGCAGCGCGAACUGGUUUACUUGAGUACGCACAACGUAGGCGGAAUUCGUCGUGUAGCGGUGAAAUGCUUAGAUAUGACGAAGAACUCCGAUUGCGAAGGCAGCUUACGGGAGCGCAACUGACGCUGAAGCUCGAAAGUGCGGGUAUCGAACAGG